GUUGCACACGAUGUCAGUAAAAAGUUAUCAUUGCUGUUCAGUCCUCACGACUUAUUUAGAAGGAGGCUUCAAAAUGCUGUUCCACAAGGUCCUCAACGUCUCCUGAAUACAUUGUGUCUGGGACAAUGUACUCCUCAUAAUCGACCCCCAGAAGCACGAUCACGCCCAUUCCGGAAGACACUCCGAUCACCUCCACCGUCUCCUCAAUGAGCCGCCUUUCUGAAACCUGUGUUUUUACAGUGUUUGGGCGGAGGUGGGUCAGCUCCACAGUGUCUCCAUUUAACACCUCGAUAAGAGCCUCAUCUCUCCACAGAGAAACCUCAACUGCUCUUGAGUUGCAGUUUAGCUUAAAGUCCAGGACGGGCACUUUACCAAAUUGCACCUGUGCCAUCCUCACCUCCUGCAACUACAAAUCACAUACCAGAGGAGACUGACGUACCCAUCUUCUGAAGGGUCCACUUUGUCCACGGAGACCAGAGGGGAAUGUGGAACAAGGAUCUCUCUGGCCCUUCUCUCCUGAUCUUCAUUGUUUAAUCAGUGGGUCACAGUUGUUCCUGCUAUACUCACCAUUCUUCGAUGAAAUGUAAGUGUUAUUUCCAUCUGUUACAACACUGAAUGCCGUAAAUCUGUGUUGCUCUACUUCAAUUUUGUCUCCACACUUUACAUAGGCUACUGCCUUUCUUGUGACACGUGUGGCAACGCAUUUACAUUUCAGUGGCUCCGGACGGCUGUAUGGACUGCAUGUUGCCAUUGUGAUGCUAAGAACAAAUACACAGAAAGGGUAAUUAUGAAACUUGUUAAUCUGAUUCAAACAGGACACAAUGCAGUUAAUAUGUUUACUGUACAUACAAAGUUACAAUUGAGCUAUCUUUUUUUACUUCAUACUCCACAAGAAUGUAUUUAUUAAUUCAUGUAAUGGAUUUUGAUGUAUUGAACUUUCUUGUCAGGGAGUGAAAAAGGGCAGUCUCUGACAGCAUACCCUUUCUUUUUCUUUUUACUUCAUAACCUGACAGGAUUUCUCUUUUUUUAAAUGUGCAGAGUGUUUUAGCGGCAUCUAGCGGUGAGGUUUGUGAAUUGUAACCAACGGCUUAGCCCCUGCUCACCCGUCCCUUUAGAGAAGCUUUACAGAUUUUGUGAAGUAAAGAUUUUCCUCAGAAAAUAAACUUUCCCGUCAGGAAUUGAAGAAAUCCUGUUUCUGACAGGAAAUCUAUAAAAUAUAUUUCUUGUGAAGUCAAGAUUUAGAUCAGAAAAUGUGUUUUCCUGUCAGAGAUAAUUUUCCCCCCUCUUUUUUUUUUUUUACUUGAUAUUCUGACAGGAUUAACUGUUAUUCUGUUUUUUUUAACUCCAUAUUGCACAGGAAUUUAUGUAUUCAUUCACUAAAUUUAUUGAAUUAGUUAUUUAUUGAAAGUUAUUGAUAAUAUUUAUUGUGAAGUAAAGAUUUAAGAUUUAUUUAUCCUUCAUAUUAAAUUCUUUAAAUCCUGUCAGAAUGGGUUUUAUUAAUGUCAUGUCUUCAUAAUCUUUUAAAAAUCACUAAUGUUAUUUGAAAUCAGUUAAAAAAAUACUUCAGAAAAUUAUUUUUCCAGUCAGAAACACUUCUCUGACCAAAUCCUGUCAGAAUAGGGUUUAUUAUAUUACAGUCUCUGUCUAUCCUGUCACUGUCAUAUAGGCCCUUAUCACUUACAUUUUUUUUUUGGAAGAAUUUAAUUUGUAGUUGUAAAGUUACAACUUUUAAUCACUGUUUGUAGAAAAGUAAAAUUGACUCACCUCAGACAAUAUGUGGUUGUUGCUGCUGCAGAGUAGUCAGUGAGUCGAGUGAGAGGGGGUCAGUGGGCCAGUGGUCUUAAACUUGGCAGUGGUCCAAUCAGAUGACGUCACCGAGGCGCAUAGUAACAAGAGGGUAAACUUCCUCUCUCUCUGUCUCUCUCCCUCCCUCCCUGUGUGUGGUUGUGUGUGUAUAUAUACAGGUUUGAUUGUAAUUGUUUGAGGGCCAAAUGUUCUCACUUGUAUAGGGAAAUAUCAUGACAACCAAGUUGUGAGAACACUAGUUAAAAGGGCUUAUAAAUGAGCCAAAACAUGUUUUUAUUCAAAUUUAGUGUUUUGCACACAUUGGGUUUAGGGCAGAGGUCCUGAAGGGCCGGUGUCCUGCAGAGUUUAGCUCCAUUCUUGCCUCAACACACAUGCUGGGAAGUUUUGUAGUAUGCCUAGUAAGAGCUUGAUAAGCUGGUUCAGGUGUGUUUAUUUGUCUAAACUCUACAGGACACUGGUCCUCCAGGACUGAGUUUGGGCACCUCUGUUGUUUAUCAUACUGUUAACUUGAUUGAUGUGAUCAUCAUGCAACUAACAAAUCUAAUUUGUCAUAUGUUUGUUUUCUACAGUAUAUCUGAUGCCUCCCGGAAUAAUUAAAAAAAAAAUAAUAAUAAUAAUAAUUGUAUGUAUUUAUUAAAUUUUUUUUUUAGUGAUUUGUGUUAUAAUGUAUUUAAAUAACUUAUUUAUUUGUAUGUUAAAUGUAUUUAUUAUUAAGAAAUUAUUUAUUAUAUAUUAUUAGAAUAAUGCAUGUAUUAAAAUUUAUUUUAAAUGAACAUUUUAAAUGAACUUGUUUUUAAUGAAUUUACUUUUUUAUAAAAAUGUUUUUAAAUUGACUUUUAUGUAUUGAAAUGAACUUACUUUCCCCCCAAUAAAACCGGUCCCUAGUUGACUGAUUCAUUUACUCAAUAUUUU
Long non-coding RNA from Cyprinus carpio carpio, 2718 nucleotides. Lineage: Eukaryota; Metazoa; Chordata; Actinopteri; Cypriniformes; Cyprinidae. The record is from Ensembl.